This 1038-nucleotide long non-coding RNA is filed under the name Salmo salar (Atlantic salmon). Its description in RNAcentral is "lncRNA (ENSSSAG00000119235.1)". The record is from RNAcentral. Lineage: Eukaryota; Metazoa; Chordata; Actinopteri; Salmoniformes; Salmonidae.
GAAUCACUCUAAGGACAGGGCUAGGGGUGAAUCACUCUAAGGACAGGGCUGUGGUGAAUCACUCUAAGGACAGGGCUGGGGGUGAAUCACUCUAAGGACAGGGCUGGGGGUGAAUCACUCUAAGGACAGGGCUGGGGUGAAUCACUCUAAGGACAGGGCUGGGGGGGAAUCACUCUAAGGACAGGGCUGGGGUGAAUCACUCUAAGGACAGGACUAGGGUGAAUUACUCUAAGGACAGGGCUGGGGGGAAUCACUAUAAGGACAGGGCUGGGGGGAUCACUCUAAGGACAGGGCUGGGGUGAAUCACUCUAAGGAAAGGGCUGGGAGUGAAUCACUCUAAGGACAGGGCUAGGGGUGAAUCACUCUAUUUACAGGGCUGGGGUGAAUCACUCUAAGGACAGGGCUGGGGGUGAAUCACUCUAAGGACAGGGCUGGGGUGAAUCACUCUAAGGACAGGGCAGGGGUGAAUCACUGUAAGGACAGGACUGGGGUGAAUCACUCUAACGACAGGGCUGGGGGUGAAUCACUCUAAGGACAGGGCUGGGGGUGAAUCACUCUAAGGACAGGGCUGGGGGUGAAUCACUCUAAGGACAGGGGCUGGGGUGAAUCACUCUAAGGACAGUUGUGGGGUGAAUCACUGUAAGGACAGGACUGGGGUGAAUCACUCUAACGACAGGGCUGGGGGUGAAUCACUCUAAGGACAGGGCUGGGGGGAAUCACUCUAAGGACAGGGCUGGGGUGAAUCACUAUAAGGACAGGGCUGGGGGGAAUCACUCUAAGGACAGGGCUGGGGUGAAUCACUCUAAGGACAGGACUGGGGUGAAUCACUCUAAGGACAGGGCUGGGGGGAAUCACUCUAAGGAAAGGGCUGGGAGUGAAUCACUCAAAGGACAGGGCUAGGGGUGAAUCACUGUAAGGACAGGGCUGUGGUGAAUCACUCUAAGGACAGGGCUGGGUGUGAAUCACUCUAAGGACAGGGCUGGGGGUGAAUCACUCUAAGGACAGGGCUGGGGGGAAUCAAUCUAAGGACAGGACUGG